AGCUUCAGUAGCGUAUAUUAAAGUUGUUGCAGUUAAAAAGCUCGUAGUCGCAUUUCUGGCGAGAGGAUCCGGUCCGACCUUUUGGUGGGUUCUUGGGUCUCUUUCGCCAUCCUUGAGUGGUCCGUUCUGGCAUUAGGUUGUCGGAGCGUCAGCCGCUCAUCGUUUACUGUGAGAAAAUUAGAGUGUUCAAAGCAGGCUUAUGCCGUUGAAUAUAUUAGCAUGGAAUAAUAAGAUAGGACCUCGGUACUAUUUUGUGGUUUUGCGCACCAAGGUAAUGAUGAACAGGGACAGUUGGGGGUAUUUGUAUUUCGUUGUCAGAGGUGAAAUUCUUAGAUUUACGAAAGACAAACUACUGCGAAAGCAUUUACCAAGGAUGUUUUCA
RNAcentral lists this ribosomal RNA (382 nucleotides) under uncultured marine Chaetocerotaceae. RNAcentral's name for it is "SSU rRNA". It matches the Rfam family "Eukaryotic small subunit ribosomal RNA", at positions 587 to 972 of the family's 1831-position model. Lineage: Eukaryota; Bacillariophyta; Thalassiosirophyceae; Chaetocerotales; Chaetocerotaceae. The record is from RNAcentral.